Molecule: ribosomal RNA, 465 nt
Filed under: uncultured bacterium
Lineage: Bacteria
Description: partial 16S ribosomal RNA
Rfam family: Bacterial small subunit ribosomal RNA
Source: RNAcentral
CCUACGGGAGGCAGCAGUGGGGAAUAUUGCGCAAUGGGCGAAAGCCUGACGCAGCGACGCCGCGUGAGGGAUGAAGGUCUUCGGAUCGUAAACCUCUGUCAGCAGGGAAGAACGGUCACUGUGCUAAUCAGCAGUGAAUUGACGGUACCUGCAAAGGAAGCACCGGCUAACUCCGUGCCAGCAGCUGCGGUAAUACGGAGGGUGCGAGCGUUAAUCGGAAUUACUGGGCGUAAAGCGCUCGUAGGCGGUAUGUCAAGUCAAGGGUGAAAUCCCCGCGCUCAACGUGGGAACUGCCUUUGAAACUGGCAAACUGGAGUGUGUGAGAGGAUAGUGGAAUUCCAGGUGUAGGAGUGAAAGCCGUAGAUAUCUGGAGGAACAUCAGUGGCGAAGGCGACUAUCUGGCACAUAACUGACGCUGAGGAGCGAAAGCGUGGGUAGCAAACAGGAUUAGAUACCCCAGUAGUC